RNAcentral lists this ribosomal RNA (876 nucleotides) under uncultured Flavobacteriia bacterium. RNAcentral's name for it is "bacterial SSU rRNA". It matches the Rfam family "Bacterial small subunit ribosomal RNA", at positions 28 to 896 of the family's 1533-position model. Lineage: Bacteria; Pseudomonadati; Bacteroidota; Flavobacteriia. The record is from RNAcentral.
GAUGAACGCUAGCGGCAGGCUUAAUACAUGCAAGUCGUGGGGCAGCAUGUCCCGCAGCAAUGCGGGAUGAUGGCGACCGGCAAACGGGUGCGGAACACGUACACAACCUUCCUUUUAGUGGAGAAUAGCCCAGGGAAACUUGGAUUAAUACACCGUAACAUAUGAGAGUGGCAUCACUUUUAUAUUAUAGCUCCGGCGCUUGAAGAUGGCUGUGCGGCUGAUUAGGUAGUUGGCGGGGUAAUGGCCCACCAAGCCUGCGAUCAGUAACUGGUGUGAGAGCACGACCAGUCACACGGGCACUGAGACACGGGCCCGACUCCUACGGGAGGCAGCAGUAAGGAAUAUUGGUCAAUGGACGCAAGUCUGAACCAGCCAUGCCGCGUGAAGGAUGAAGGUCCUCUGGAUUGUAAACUUCUUUUAUCUGGGACGAAAAAGGGGCUUUCUAGCUCAACUGACGGUACCAGAGGAAUAAGCACCGGCUAACUCCGUGCCAGCAGCCGCGGUAAUACGGAGGGUGCAAGCGUUAUCCGGAUUCACUGGGUUUAAAGGGAGCGUAGGCGGGCAGGUAAGUCAGUGGUGAAAUCUCCGGGCUUAACCCGGAAACUGCCAUUGAUACUAUCUGUCUUGAAUAUCCUGGAGGUAAGCGGAAUAUGUCAUGUAGCGGUGAAAUGCUUAGAUAUGACAUAGAACACCCAUUGCGAAGGCAGCUUACUACGGGAUGAUUGACGCUGAGGCUCGAAAGCGUGGGGAUCAAACAGGAUUAGAUACCCUGGUAGUCCACGCCCUAAACGAUGGAUACUCGACAUCAGCGAUACACUGUUGGUGUCUGAGCGAAAGCAUUAAGUAUCCCACCUGGGAAGUACGACCGCAAGGUUG